AGGUCCGUUAGUCUAUGAAGACAUUAAGUUGCAGCCUUAAAGAUGCAAAAAUCUGCACGGAUUUG
RNAcentral lists this transfer RNA (65 nucleotides) under Anadara sp. SS-2018. RNAcentral's name for it is "tRNA-Cys". The record is from RNAcentral. Lineage: Eukaryota; Metazoa; Mollusca; Bivalvia; Arcoida; Arcidae. RNAcentral also lists the same sequence under 1 other name.